RNAcentral lists this ribosomal RNA (407 nucleotides) under uncultured bacterium. RNAcentral describes it as "partial 16S ribosomal RNA". It matches the Rfam family "Bacterial small subunit ribosomal RNA", at positions 30 to 525 of the family's 1533-position model. The record is from RNAcentral.
AUUGAACGCUGGCGGCAGGCCUAACACAUGCAAGUCGAGCGGAGCGGCGGACGGGUGAGUAAUGCCUGGGAAUCUGCCUGGUAGUGGGGGAUACCGUCCGGAAACGGGCGCUAAUACCGCAUACUAUCAGAUGAGCCUAGGUCGCAUGAGCUAGUUGGGGGGGUAAAGGCCUACCAAGGUGACGAUCCGUACCUGGUCUGAGUGGAUGAUCAGUCACACUGGAACUGAGCCACGGUCCAGACUCCGACGGGAGGCAGCAGUGGGGAAUAGUUGACAAUGGGCGAAAGCCUGAUCCAGCCAUGCCGCGUGUGUGAAGAAGGUCUUCGGAUUGUAAAGCACUUUAAGUUGGGAGGCGUUACCAACAGAAUAAGCACCGGCUAACUUCGUGCCAGCAGCCGCGGUAAUUA